AGUGUACGCUGGCGGUAGGCCUAACACAUGCCAGUCGAACGGCAGCACAGUAAGAGCUUGCUCUUACGGGUGGCGAGUGGCGGACGGGUGAGGAAUACAUCGGAAUCUACUUUUUCGUGGGGGAUAACGUAGGGAAACUUACGCUAAUACCGCAUACGACCUACGGGUGAAAGCAGGGGAUCUUCGGACCUUGCGCGAUUGAAUGAGCCGAUGUCGGAUUAGCUAGUUGGCGGGGUAAAGGCCCACCAAGGCGACGAUCCGUAGCUGGUCUGAGAGGAUGAUCAGCCACACUGGAACUGAGACACGGUCCAGACUCCUACGGGAGGCAGCAGUGGGGAAUAUUGGACAAUGGGCGCAAGCCUGAUCCAGCCAUACCGCGUGGGUGAAGAAGGCCUUCGGGUUGUAAAGCCCUUUUGUUGGGAAAGAAAAGCAGCAGGUUAAUACCCCGCUGUUCUGACGGUACCCAAAGAAUAAGCACCGGCUAACUUCGUG
Molecule: ribosomal RNA, 492 nt
Filed under: uncultured bacterium
Lineage: Bacteria
Description: partial 16S ribosomal RNA
Rfam family: Bacterial small subunit ribosomal RNA
Source: RNAcentral